UUAAGGUGUUACCUGUUGGUUGAACCCAGCCCAAAGCAAGGGAACCUUGAUGCUGUCUACACAGGUCUCUCUCGUGGGGCGUGCAGCGGGGAAAAAGGUGGAGUGGCUACCUGUCCAAUAACACCCCUCGGCUCUGCAGCCUUCAGCUAAAAUGACUCAGGAGGCAGUGCCUGAUGUGGAAGAGGGAAUCAGGAGUCCUCCCAGGCCUGGUGCGAGACCGCUCCCUCAUUCUCUUCCUUCUUUCCCUCUUUGCUGCUGCUUCUUCCCUUUGCCAAAUACGGCUUCCAUGCCUACAAGUUCAUAUGGUCUGCAGCGGCUGCAACAGCUUCUGGCCAAAGAGCGAAGGGUGCUUUCAGAAGAGAAGUUUCCCUGGUUCAGGAGUCAUCCAAGCCUGCUCCGGUGGCAAGUUUUCCCAGUGAAGUGAGCCCCACUGGCGAACUUGAAUUCUUAUGUAUCUUUGCCAACAGUUUCUUGGAACCUCUAAGUAAACACAUUAAAAUGCCAGUAAAAAUU
Long non-coding RNA from Myotis davidii, 513 nucleotides. RefSeq lists it as uncharacterized. The record is from RefSeq and is a predicted model, not a curated record. The transcript is spliced from 2 exons. NCBI's taxonomy places the organism in Eukaryota, Metazoa, Chordata, Mammalia, Chiroptera, Vespertilionidae.